ACGGGUGAGUAACGCGUGGGUAACCUGCCUCAUACAGGGGGAUAACAGUUAGAAAUGACUGCUAAUACCGCAUAAGCCCACGGGUCGGCAUCGACCAGAGGGAAAAGGAGCAAUCCGCUUUGAGAUGGCCUCGCGUCCGAUUAGCUAGUUGGUGAGGUAAUGGCCCACCAAGGCGACGAUCGGUAGCCGGACUGAGAGGUUGAACGGCCACAUUGGGACUGAGACACGGCCCAGACUCCUACGGGAGGCAGCAUG
This 255-nucleotide ribosomal RNA is filed under the name uncultured bacterium. Its description in RNAcentral is "partial 16S ribosomal RNA". It matches the Rfam family "Bacterial small subunit ribosomal RNA", at positions 102 to 353 of the family's 1533-position model. The record is from RNAcentral.